This 125-nucleotide small RNA is filed under the name Marmota monax (woodchuck). Lineage: Eukaryota; Metazoa; Chordata; Mammalia; Rodentia; Sciuridae. The record is from RNAcentral.
GCUGAGCGUGGUGGCGUGUGCCUGUAAUCCCAGUGGCUUGGGAAGCUGAGGCAGGAGGAUCAUGAGUUCAAAGCCAGCCUCAGCAAAAGUGAGGCACUAAGCACCUCAGUGAGACCCUGUCUCUA